AACGAACGCUGGCGGCGCGUCUUAAGCAUGCACCCGAACGGCAAGAGAGGAGCUUGCUUCUCUCCUAGAGUGGCGGACUGGUGAGGAACACGUGGGUAAUCUACCCUUAAGAUGGGGAUAGCUGCUAGCAAUAGCAGAUAAUACCGAAUACACUCGAUAUUUCAUAAGAGAUUUUGAGGAAAGGAAGCUACGGCUUCGCUUAAGGAUGAGCUUGCGUCCCAUUAGCUUGUUGGUGAGGUAACGGCCCACCAAGGCGACGAUGGGUAUCCGGCCUGAGAGGGUGAUCGGACACAUUGGGACUGAGAUACGGCCCAUCCUCCUACGGGAGGCAGCAGCUAAGACUCUUCCGCAAUGGACGGAAGUCUGACGGAGCGACGCCGCGUGGAUGAAGAAGGCUGAAAAGUUGUAAAAUCCUUUUGUUGAUGAAGAAUAAGGAGAAGAGGGAAUGCUUCUCUGAUGACGGUAAUCGACGAAUAAGCCCCGGCUAAUUACGUGCCAGCAGCCGCGGUAACACGUAAGGGGCGAGCGUUGUUCGGAAUUAUUGGGCGUAAAGGGCAUGUAGGCGGUUAUGUAAGCCUGAUGUGAAAUCCUGGGGCUUAACCCCAGAAUAGCAUUGGGUACUGUAUAACUUGAAUUACGGAAGGGAAACUGGAAUUCCAAGUGUAGGGGUGGAAUCUGUAGAUAUUUGGAAGAACACCGGUGGCGAAGGCGGGUUUCUGGCCGAUAAUUGACGCUGAGAUGCGAAAGUGUGGGGAUCGAACAGGAUUAGAUACCCUGGUAGUCCACACCGUAAACGAUGUACACUAGGUGUCGGGGCAAGAGCUUCGGUGCCGUAAGCAAACGCAUUAAGUGUACCGCCUGGGAAGUAUGCCCGCAAGGGUGAAACUCAAAGGAAUUGACGGGGGCCCACACAAGCGGUGGAGCAUGUGGUUUAGUUCGAUGAUACGCGAGAAACCUUACCUGGGUUUGACAUCAAGAGCAAUGACAUAGAGAUAUGGCAG
This 1001-nucleotide ribosomal RNA is filed under the name Treponema sp. oral taxon G73. Its description in RNAcentral is "bacterial SSU rRNA". It matches the Rfam family "Bacterial small subunit ribosomal RNA", at positions 28 to 1014 of the family's 1533-position model. The record is from RNAcentral. Lineage: Bacteria; Pseudomonadati; Spirochaetota; Spirochaetia; Treponematales; Treponemataceae.